Molecule: ribosomal RNA, 330 nt
Filed under: uncultured soil bacterium
Lineage: Bacteria
Description: bacterial SSU rRNA
Rfam family: Bacterial small subunit ribosomal RNA
Source: RNAcentral
AGAUUGAACGCUGGCGGCAUGCCUUACACAUGCAAGUCGAACGGCAGCACGGGAGCAAUCCUGGUGGCGAGUGGCGAACGGGUGAGUAAUAUAUCGGAACGUGCCCAGUCGUGGGGGAUAACGCAGCGAAAGCUGUGCUAAUACCGCAUACGAUCUAUGGAUGAAAGCGGGGGAUCGCAAGACCUCGCGUCGAUUGGAGCGGCCGAUAUCAGAUUAGCUAGUUGGUGAGGUAAAGCUCACAAGGCGACAUCUGUAGCUGGUUUACGAGGAGGACGACAGCCGCACGUGGGACUAGGACGACGACCGGCCAGACUCCGUACGGGACGGGCA